UCCUGAUGAACCCUUUAGAUGACGAGUCUUAUACGAGUUUUCGAUGCAGACACAAUCUUAUUUUACCAUUCAUGCAUUUCCUGACA
Non-coding RNA from Fusarium oxysporum f. sp. cubense, 86 nucleotides. The record is from Rfam. NCBI's taxonomy places the organism in Eukaryota, Fungi, Ascomycota, Sordariomycetes, Hypocreales, Nectriaceae.